RNAcentral lists this ribosomal RNA (497 nucleotides) under uncultured bacterium. RNAcentral describes it as "partial 16S ribosomal RNA". It matches the Rfam family "Bacterial small subunit ribosomal RNA", at positions 28 to 507 of the family's 1533-position model. The record is from RNAcentral.
GAUGAACGCUGGCGGCGUGCCUAAUACAUGCAAGUCGAGCGAACAGACGAGGAGCUUGCUCCUCUGACGUUAGCGGCGGACGGGUGAGUAACACGUGGAUAACCUACCUAUAAGACUGGGAUAACUUCGGGAAACCGGAGCUAAUACCGGAUAAUAUAUUGAACCGCAUGGUUCAAUAGUGAAAGACGGUUUUGCUGUCACUUAUAGAUGGAUCCGCGCCGCAUUAGCUAGUUGGUAAGGUAACAGCUUACCAAGGCAACGAUGCGUAGCCGACCUGAGAGGGUGAUCGGCCACACUGGAACUGAGACACGGUCCAGACUCAUACGGGAGGCAGCAGUAGGGAAUCUUCCGCAAUGGGCGAAAGCCUGACGGAGCAACGCCGCGUGAGUGAUGAAGGUCUUCGGAUCGUAAAACUCUGUUAUUAGGGAAGAACAAAUGUGUAAGUAACUAUGCACGUCUUGACGGUACCUAAUCAGAAAGCCACGACUAACUACGUG